UGCUAAAACCACAGUCCCCUUGCCCAGCUCCCUCUCCUUCCUGCAUGAGGAAGUCUUCCAUUUCCCAGGGACAUCGGAGCAGGAGUGCGUGUCAGACCGUCACGUAACACGUUUGAAACCCGACGUCGGAACGCCCCAGUGAAACCACCCCUCCGGGGUCUGUGGUGAAGCACCAGGCUAAGCACACUGUAGAUUUCUGCAACCAUCUUUUCACUGAUACGUCUUUUCCCAGCAAGACCGUGAGGAUCUUUCUAGACCACCAGUUGGAAUAUAUCAUUCUUCAGCUAAAAUCUUUAUCAAGAGCCCUCGCAGCCUUUAGAAGAAGUUUUAAACUUGGGUCAGGCCUCAUGAUGGGGAUCUCUCCUUCUAGAGCCUUCUCUUCACCUUUGGGACCCAGAUUGAAUAUACAGCUUGCAUUUUUGUAUUAUUGUACACAGACUGCCCCCUGUCUCACCUCUCCUCUCUCUGGAUCUAUUGAGCCUUCUCCCAUCUGUGACGUCACCUUUCCUGCACAAGAGGCCCUUGUGCUACUUUGUUCUUCCCCAGCACAGCACGGCACAGUAAAGCAAUAGAAGCUUUACUCACAGGCAUGCUCCAGAGAACCAUAAAAUCCCUUGUCAAUC
RNAcentral lists this long non-coding RNA (623 nucleotides) under Rattus norvegicus (Norway rat). RNAcentral's name for it is "long non-coding RNA NONRATT015970". The record is from RNAcentral. Lineage: Eukaryota; Metazoa; Chordata; Mammalia; Rodentia; Muridae.